UGAUGCAGCGACGCCCGCGUGAGGGAUGAAGGCCUUCGGGUUGUAAACCUCUUUCAGUAGGGAAGAAGCGCAAGUGACGGUACCUACAGAAGAAGCACCGGCUAACUACGUGCCAGCAGCCGCGGUAAUACGUAGGGUGCGAGCGUUGUCCGGAAUUAUUGGGCGUAAAGAGCUUGUAGGCGGUUUGUCGCGUCUGCCGUGAAAAUCCGGGGCUCAACUCCGGACUUGCGGUGGGUACGGGCAGACUAGAGUGUGGUAGGGGAGACUGGAAUUCCUGGUGUAGCGGUGAAAUGCGCAGAUAUCAAGAGGAACACCGAUAGCGAAGGCAGGUCUCUGGGCCACUACUGACGCUGAGAAGCGAAAGCGUGGGGAGCGAACAGGAUUAGAUACCCUGGUAGUCCACGCCGUAAACGUUGGGAACUAGGUGUGGGUCUCAUUCCACGAGAUCCGUGCCGCAGCUAACGCAUUAAGUUCCCCGCCUGGGGA
RNAcentral lists this ribosomal RNA (486 nucleotides) under uncultured Actinomycetales bacterium. Its description in RNAcentral is "bacterial SSU rRNA". It matches the Rfam family "Bacterial small subunit ribosomal RNA", at positions 384 to 879 of the family's 1533-position model. The record is from RNAcentral. Lineage: Bacteria; Bacillati; Actinomycetota; Actinomycetes; Actinomycetales.